RNAcentral lists this ribosomal RNA (397 nucleotides) under uncultured bacterium. Its description in RNAcentral is "partial 16S ribosomal RNA". It matches the Rfam family "Bacterial small subunit ribosomal RNA", at positions 523 to 918 of the family's 1533-position model. The record is from RNAcentral.
AUACGUAGGGGGCGAGCGUUGUCCGGAAUGAUUGGGCGUAAAGGGCGCGUAGGCGGCCCGGUAAGUCUGGAGUGAAAGUCCUGUUUUUAAGAUGGGAAUUGCUUUGGAUACUGUCGGGCUUGAGCGCAGGAGAGGUAAGUGGAAUUCCCAGUGUAGCGGUGAAAUGCGUAGAGAUUGGGAGGAACACCAGUGGCGAAGGCGACUUACUGGACUGUAACUGACGCUGAGGCGCGAAAGUGUGGGGAGCAAACAGGAUUAGAUACCCUGGUAGUCCACACUGUAAACGAUGAAUGCUAGGUGUAGGGGGUAUCGACCCCUUCUGUGCCGCAGUCAACACAAUAAGCAUUCCGCCUGGGGAGUACGGCCGCAAGGUUGAAACUCAAAUGAAUUGACGGGG